UACGAAGGGGGCGAGCGUUGUUCGGAUUUACUGGGCGUAAAGGGCGCGCAGGCGGUCUUGAAAGUCAGGCGUGAAAGCCCCGGGCUUAACCUGGGAAUUGCGCUUGAUACUCUGAGACUGGAGUACGGGAGAGGAGAGUGGAAUUCCCAGUGUAGAGGUGAAAUUCGUAGAUAUUCGCAAGAACACCAGUGGCGAAGGCGGCUCACUGGCCCGAUACUGACGCUGAGGUGCGAAAGCGUGGGGAGCAAACAGGG
RNAcentral lists this ribosomal RNA (254 nucleotides) under uncultured bacterium. RNAcentral's name for it is "partial 16S ribosomal RNA". It matches the Rfam family "Bacterial small subunit ribosomal RNA", at positions 524 to 777 of the family's 1533-position model. The record is from RNAcentral.